This 253-nucleotide ribosomal RNA is filed under the name uncultured bacterium. RNAcentral describes it as "partial 16S ribosomal RNA". It matches the Rfam family "Bacterial small subunit ribosomal RNA", at positions 524 to 776 of the family's 1533-position model. The record is from RNAcentral.
UACGUAUGGUGCAAGCGUUAUCCGGAUUUACUGGGUGUAAAGGGAGCGCAGGCGGCACGGCAAGCCUGAUGUGAAAGCCCGCGGCCCAACCGCGGGACUGCAUUGGGAACUACCGGGCUGGAGUGCCGGAGAGGUAGGCGGAAUUCCUAGUGUAGCGGUGAAAUGCGUAGAUAUUAGGAGGAACACCAGUGGCGAAGGCGGCUUGCUGGACGAAAACUGACGUUGAGGCUCGAAAGCGUGGGGAGCAAACAGG